CAAAUGAAUGACGGGGCCCGCACAAGCGGUGGAGCAUGUGGUUAAUUCGACGCAACGCGAAGAACCUUACCAGGGCUUGACAUCCCCUGACCGCGUAUGAAAGUACGUUUUCACCCUCGGGUGACAGGGAGACAGGUGGUGCAUGGUUGUCGUCAGCUCGUGUCGUGAGAUGUUGGGUUAAGUCCCGCAACGAGCGCAACCCCUACGUUUAGUUGCUAACGCGUGAAGGCGAGCACUCUAGACGAACUGCCGUUGACAAAACGGAGGAAGGUGGGAUGACGUCAAAUCAUCAUGCCCCUUAUGUUCUGGGCUACACACGUGCUACAAUGGCCGGUACAGACGGACGCAAAGCCGCGAGGUGGAGCAAAUCCUAAAAAGCCGGUCUCAGUUCGGAUUGCAGGCUGCAAUUCGCCUGCAUGAAGUCGGAAUCGCUAGUAAUCGCAGGUCAGCAUACUGCGGUGAAUACGUUCCCGGGCCUU
Molecule: ribosomal RNA, 479 nt
Filed under: uncultured Bacillus sp.
Lineage: Bacteria; Bacillati; Bacillota; Bacilli; Caryophanales; Bacillaceae
Description: bacterial SSU rRNA
Rfam family: Bacterial small subunit ribosomal RNA
Source: RNAcentral